CGAGGGCAGGGUACACUAAUAGCAGCGGUGCAUCGUGCUACGCUCUUUUCGGCGCAGCUGUGUUCGCGGGCCUCUCGUUUUUUCUCUCAUCCCGGCUCGAGCUGUUUCCUCGGCGAUCAUAUCUGCUUGCCCACCACAAAGGAACGCACACUGCCAGCAAGGCACGUUUUUUUUUGUGGUGGGGGGCUAUCAUACCUCACCUGCUCCCUCUGUCUCUUCGUCUUUUUUCUUCGUUGUUUCUUAAUUUGGUCUCCUUUGGCAACCAUGCAGUUGAUGCGUGCGGUCACCCUGAAGGGGUUCGGCGAUACGGAGAUGCUCCAAAUCUCUCGCAUACCCAAGGCUGCCAUCACCCGCGGGAGGGACAUCCUCAUAAAAGUGAGUGCGGCUGGCGUCAACCGCGCCGACGCGGCUCAGCGCAAGGGCCACUACCCCCCACCAAAAGGCAGCAGCGAGGUUCUGGGGCUGGAGGUGUCGGGCAUUGUCGAGCAGGUAGGGGACGAUGUAAAGGACUUCAAGGAGGGCGACAAAGUGAUGGCGUUGCUGCCGGGUGGCGGGUACGCCGAGUACGCCGUUGCACACGAGGGCAGCGUCAUGCAUAUCCCGCAAGGCUACUCCUUUAUCGAGGCGGCUGCAAUUCCGGAGGCGUUUCUCACUGCGUGGCAGGCACUAAAGUACCACGGCGACUGUCGCAGGGGCCAAAAAGUCCUCAUCCAUGCCGGAGCCAGCGGCGUCGGCACUGCGGCAGCACAGCUCGUCGAGAAGUACUUCCAGGCCACCGCUCUCACCACUUCCUCAGAGUCCAAGGUGGAGGUGUGCAAGAACUUUGCGAGCAUCAACCUCACCCGCACACCGGAUGAGACCGGCAUGUGCUUCUCUCCGAAGGUAAAGAGCCUCCUUGGCGAGGGUGCCAUCAAUCUUGUCCUGGACUCUGUCUUUGGUGGGUCGUACAUCUCCGAGGAUGCCGCGGUGCUGGCGAAGGACGGCCGCAUCGUGGUGCUCGCCUUCAUGGGCGGUGCAACGGUGCACCUGAACUGCCUUCCUCUGCUGCGACAGCGCGCACACGUCAUGUUCUCCAAGCUUCGCUGCCAGUCAGACGACUACAAGCAGAACCUAGUAGACACCUUCGAGGAGGCGGUAAUACCCUACAUGAAUGAGCGGGUGAUUGUGCCAGUGGCGAACAAGACAUACCCGCUAGAGGAGGUUGCUCAGGCGCACGCGCGGCUCGACGACAGCAAGGCGUGGGGUAAGAUCGUGCUGACGUUCAACAGCCAUCUCUCGGCGACAUCCGCGAACCCGCUGCCCACGCCGAAAGCUUAGACCGGUUGCUGCACAAACACAGCAAAUGAAAGCGCUGCGGUGGCGGCAGGCACGAGCCGAGAGCAAAAACGGGGAUGUUAAGGGCACCCUCGAGCGAAUGAUGGGGGCGGGGGACAGGGAGUGAGAACGAUGCGCUUCGCGUUGCAAGCAAGCACCCUGGCUCAUCUUCAAGGGAUCUUCCUUUCCCUCCCUUGCGCGCCGCGGCUCCUCUGGAGCCUCUUGUCCACGUGGCAGCGCAGCUGCGCAAG
Molecule: unclassified non-coding RNA, 1565 nt
Filed under: Leishmania donovani
Lineage: Eukaryota; Euglenozoa; Kinetoplastea; Trypanosomatida; Trypanosomatidae
Description: gene:LdHU3.29.1520(CDS-product:Alcohol_dehydrogen ase_GroES-like_domain/Zinc-binding_dehydrogenase_putative)
Source: RNAcentral